Long non-coding RNA from Rosa rugosa (rugosa rose), 593 nucleotides. RefSeq lists it as uncharacterized. NCBI's taxonomy places the organism in Eukaryota, Viridiplantae, Streptophyta, Magnoliopsida, Rosales, Rosaceae. The record is from RefSeq and is a predicted model, not a curated record. The transcript is spliced from 3 exons.
UCUGGAAUUUUUCCGAUCACCGAAGCUUUCGAUCGGUAUAUCUCGAGCUACAGACCAUAUUUUUCUGUGAUUUUUGAACCAGUGAGUUCUUCUUGAGUUUCUUAACAACUCUUCAGAAGGAAUCAAAGCCUUAAAUUGACGUUUUUACGUCGAAUUGGAGCUCGCCGUUUUCUGCAGUUUCUCGCCGGUUUCUGGAAAAUUCCGGCCACCUUCAUACUGUUCAAGGUGAUCGACGGUUUGAUUUGGCGGACGAUUCGUGAAAUUGUAUUUUGAGCUGUUAAGAAGACGUAGCGGGAAUUUAGAGCGGGUAAUCCUACAGGACAGGAGAACCAGGACGGUGAUCGUGCGGUUAGAGCAAUGGUUAUAGUUUUACAGCAAUUGUAAUAGUGAGGCGAGUUAAGCUCAUUUGAGCAUUACAAUUUGAUUUGGUGGGAGUGUGCUGUAAUAAAUAACUUGAGGAUUUGGGUUAUUGUAAAUUUGAGAGUUGUGAAGUGUGGUUGUUUGUGAGAAAAAAAUUCAGGAUGUUAGUUGUAAUUUGUUAUUAUUCAUGUUUCGGAUUUGAAUUGAUUAUUCAAAAUUCGGGGCGUGACAGU